UGGGGAAUAUUGGACAAUGGGCGAAAGCCUGAUCCAGCCAUGCCGCGUGGAUGAUGAAGGCCUUAGGGUUGUAAAGCACUUUAGUUGUUGAGGAAGGUUGUGUGGUGAAUACCCGCAUGACUUGACGGUAAACAAAGAAUAAGCACCGGCUAACUCUGUGCCAGCAGCCGCGGUAAUACAGAGGGUGCAAGCGUUAAUCGGAAUGACUGGGCGUAAAGGGCGCGUAGGUGGACAUAUAAGUAAAUUGUGAAAGACCCGGGCUUAACCUGGGAAGUUCAAUUUAAACGGUAUGUCUGGAGUGGAGUAGAGGGAAGUAGAAUUUCCGGUGUAGCGGUGAAAUGCGUAGAUAUCGGAAGGAAUACCGGUGGCGAAGGCGUCUUCCUGGACUCUAACUGACACUGAGGCGCGAAAGCAUGGGGAUCAAACAGGAUUAGAUACCCUCGUAGUCCCUGAGCGGGCUGGCAAGGCGCAU
This 472-nucleotide ribosomal RNA is filed under the name uncultured bacterium. RNAcentral describes it as "bacterial SSU rRNA". It matches the Rfam family "Bacterial small subunit ribosomal RNA", at positions 355 to 825 of the family's 1533-position model. The record is from RNAcentral.